RNAcentral lists this ribosomal RNA (1687 nucleotides) under Minisyncoccota bacterium. RNAcentral's name for it is "bacterial SSU rRNA". It matches the Rfam family "Bacterial small subunit ribosomal RNA", at positions 199 to 1533 of the family's 1533-position model. The record is from RNAcentral. Lineage: Bacteria; Bacillati; Minisyncoccota.
GGGUAAAGCCGCAAGGCGCUUUGAGAUCGGCCUAGGUCCGAUCAGCUAGUUUGUGAGGUAAUGGCUCACCAAGGCUAUGACCGGUAGGGGUGCUGAGAGGCAGUUCCCCAACGACGAGACUGAGACACGGCUCGUACACCUACGGGUGGCAGCAGUCGAGAAUAUUCCACAAUGGGCGAAAGCCUGAUGGAGCGACGCCGCGUGCAGGAAGAAGGCCUUCGGGUUGUAAACUGCUUUUCUACAGGAGGAAGUCCCGCUCUUUUGGUGGUACAAUUUUGUUUAUGUAUUAUGUGUAUGUUUUGCUAAGCGCAAAAGAUGGAUACUUGUACGUUGGGGAAACACAUGAUUUGAGACAAAGAUUUUUGGCUCACAAAUCAGGAAAUGUUUUUUCAACAAAAAAUCAUUUGCCACUUAAGCUUAUCUACUACGAAGCGUAUUUAAACAAAAUCGAUGCUCUUAAAAGAGAAAAAAUGCUCAAACAUCAUGGCUCUGUUAUUGGUCAUUUAAAAAAGAGAAUUAUUAACAGUGCAUAUGAGGUAGUGCCAAAAGAGCGGGAUUGACGUUACUGUAGGAAUAAGAGGUUGCUAACUCUGUGCCAGCAGCAGCGGUAAUACAGAGACCUCGAGCGUUAUCCGGAUUUAUUGGGCGUAAAGGGCGCGUAGGAGUCUUGGCGCAUCUUUGGUUAAAGACCGGAGCUUAACUUCGGGAGUGCCAAAGAGAUGGCCUCGAUAGAGGAUGUCAGAGGUAAGCGGAACGCACGGUGUAGGGGUGAAAUCCGUUGAUAUCGUGCGGAACACCAGAGGCGAAGGCGGCUUACUGGGGCAUUCCUGACUCUGAGGCGCGAAAGCGUGGGUAGCAAAAAGGAUUAGAUACCCUUGUAGUCCACGCCCUAAACGAUGCCAACUAGCUAUCGGGAGUAUCGACCCUCUCGGUGGCGAAGCUAACGCGUUAAGUUGGCCGCCUGGGAAGUACGGCCGCAAGGCUAAAACUCAAAGGAAUAGACGGGGACUCGCACAAGCGGUGGAGCAUGUGGUUUAAUUCGACGUUAAACGAAACACCUCACCAGGGUUUGAAACCCAAACGACGAUAGUCUGAAAGGAUUAUCUUUAUGGAGUUUACUUCAAAACGGUUGGGCAGGUGCUGCACGGUUGUCGUCAGCUCGUGGCUUGAGUUGUUCCCUUAAGUGGGUUAACGAGCGCAACCCCUGCUGUCUGUUACAAGUGUCAGACAGGACUGUCCGCUAAAGGCGGAAGGAAGCGGGGAUGACGUCAAAUCAGCGUGGCCCUUUGAUACCCUGGGCGACACACAUUCUACAAUGGCUGGUACAACGGGUUGCCAAGUCGCAAGACGGAGCCAAUCCCAUCAAAGCCAGCCCCAGUUCAGAUUGGAGUCUGAAAUUCGACUCCAUGAAGUUGGAAUCGCUAGUAAUCGCGGAUCAGCAAGCCGCGGUGAAUACGUUCUCGAGUCUUGUACUCACCGCCCGUCACACCAGGGGAGUCGGGAAUAGGUAAAGCCCAGCCCCAGUUUUACAGGACGCUUUUUACAAAAAAGUGCCUGUGGUACGCAACACAUUUUUUCGCGAAAAUGUUUGUUGUAAAACUGGGGCUGGGUUAAUCUAAGCUCGGUGACACGGGUGAAGUCGUAACAAGGCACGUGUAGCGGAAGCUGUGCGUGAAUCAAUUACAUA